AUUGAACGCUGGCGGAAUGCUUUACAAAUGCAAGUCGGGCGGCAGCGCGGGGCAACCUGGCGGCGAGCGGCGCACGGGUGAGUAAUGCAUCGGAACGUGUCCAUGUCGUGGGGGAUAGCGCGGCGAAAGCCGGAUUAAUACCGCAUACGCCCGAGAGGGGAAAGUGGGGGACCGCAAGGCCUCACGAGAUUGGGUCGGCCGAUGUCCGAUUAGCUAGUUGGCGGGGUAAAGGCCCACCAAGGCGAUGAUCGGUAGCUGGUCUGAGAGGAUGAUCAGGCACACUGGGACUGAGACCCGGCCCGGACUCCUACGGGAGGCAGCAGUGGGGAAUUUUGGACAAUGGGGGCAACCCUGAUCCAGCCAUUCCGCGUGAGUGAAGAAGGCCUUCGGGUUGUAAAGCUCUUUUGUCCGGAACGAAACGGAUGACGUGAAUAUCGUCGUCUACUGACGGUACCGGAAGAAUAAGCACCGGCUAACUACGUGCCAGCCGCCGCAGUAA
This 499-nucleotide ribosomal RNA is filed under the name uncultured bacterium. RNAcentral's name for it is "partial 16S ribosomal RNA". It matches the Rfam family "Bacterial small subunit ribosomal RNA", at positions 29 to 523 of the family's 1533-position model. The record is from RNAcentral.